UCAAGUGUCAUAGUAAUCCCUUGGGUGAGAAUAAAAGGGUUAUGAGCAAUGUCCUGAAAAAUAUCUUAAAGUGGAUACUCAAAAUUGUAUUGUGCCUUCUUUUGCAGAGUGAGGACAUUGACCUCAAGAGGGAGUGUGUCCUCUGUGUGUCUCCCUCAAUGAGGACAGCAACACUCUCAUCAAGGAGUACUUGGACGUCAACAGUGAGGAAGCUGAGCGAGAGAUAGCGCAGACCACCAUGGGCCUUUACAGGAUUAUCAAAGAAGGUGCUGAUAAAGAGGACGAGCCAAAGGACUUUGGAGUGGUGAUCGAAGGUGUGGAGCUGCUAUGCAAUCUGAGAGGCGUUGCCUUUGGACGUGCCAUGCUCUUUGGCCUAAUUUACACUCUCAACCUGAGCUAUCCCCGAGAACUCAAAUUCACUUUUGAGUUCAUCCAGAAAGUGUUGAUGAACUUGAAUGGAAAGAAGUUGUCCCCAAAGGUCCAAACACUUAAAAUCAAGAUGCUUCAAUGAGCUCACAUGGUCAGCACUGGAGAGUUGAGCUAGCCACAUUUUGGCGUGUUGGACAUUGAUAUAUUGACCUGGUAAGACUGUAAAGAAGCUAGUGACUUACUAGUUUGUGGUACUGUUGUCAGGUUCACUGGAAAAGCUGUUAUGUGUUCUAAUUGUUGCAUUACCCAGGUUUAUCAAUACUGGUAUUGUUAAUAUUAAUCUGAUUUAUUGAAGGGACCGUAAUGUCUAGGUUCCGGCAAAGCACCAGAAGAGACGGCACUUUGCCUGUGUGGAGAGAGAGAUAUUGUGUCUGCAGCUCAAGGAUAGCUACACGCCUGACAGUAUUCAACAUUCACACUUGUUAUCAGUAUUUACACAUACCAAGAGGGGCACACGGCCAACAGACAGCCCCCACCCGGGGGUACGAGGGAUGGGAUAUGCACCUGUGACGAGAUCUGGGUAUAAAAGAUGGAAUCUUGAUGUGCUAAAGGAGAAGUGUGGUUUUCGGGCUUCAACUUGCAUGUUGAGGAGAGCUCCCCGUGGUUUGUACUUUGCUUUUGAUCAGUGAAUAAACGUCUCCCUAAUGGAGAGAACUACA
Long non-coding RNA from Pseudoliparis swirei, 1088 nucleotides. RefSeq lists it as uncharacterized. The record is from RefSeq and is a predicted model, not a curated record. The transcript is spliced from 2 exons. Lineage: Eukaryota; Metazoa; Chordata; Actinopteri; Perciformes; Liparidae.